Molecule: ribosomal RNA, 372 nt
Filed under: uncultured Enterobacteriaceae bacterium
Lineage: Bacteria; Pseudomonadati; Pseudomonadota; Gammaproteobacteria; Enterobacterales; Enterobacteriaceae
Description: bacterial SSU rRNA
Rfam family: Bacterial small subunit ribosomal RNA
Source: RNAcentral
AUUGAACGCUGGCGGCAGGCCUAACACAUGCAAGUCGAACGGUAGCACAGAGAGCUUGCUCUUGGGUGACGAGUGGCGGACGGGUGAGUAAUGUCUGGGAAACUGCCCGAUGGAGGGGGAUAACUACUGGAAACGGUAGCUAAUACCGCAUAACGUCGCAAGACCAAAGUGGGGGACCUUCGGGCCUCACACCAUCGGAUGUGCCCAGAUGGGAUUAGCUAGUUGGUGAGGUAAUGGCCUCACCAAGGCGACGAUCCCUAGCUGGUCUGAGAGGAUGACCAGCCACACUGGAACUGAGACACGGUCCAGACUCCUACGGGAGGCAGGCAGUUGGGGAAUAUUGGCACAAUGGCGCAAGCCUGAUGCAGCCAU